UUUAUGGAGAGUUUGAUCCUGGCUCAGGAUGAACGCUGGCGGCGUGCUUAAUACAUGCAAGUCGAGCGAACGGACGAGAAGCUUGCUUCUCUGAUGUUAGCGGCGGACGGGUGAGUAACACGUGGAUAACCUACCUAUAAGACUGGGAUAACUUCGGGAAACCGGAGCUAAUACCGGAUAAUAUUUUGAACCGCAUGGUUCAAAAGU
RNAcentral lists this ribosomal RNA (207 nucleotides) under Staphylococcus aureus. RNAcentral describes it as "partial 16S ribosomal RNA". It matches the Rfam family "Bacterial small subunit ribosomal RNA", at positions 1 to 202 of the family's 1533-position model. Lineage: Bacteria; Bacillati; Bacillota; Bacilli; Caryophanales; Staphylococcaceae. The record is from RNAcentral.